This is a long non-coding RNA of Diospyros lotus (date-plum), 574 nucleotides long. RefSeq lists it as uncharacterized. The transcript is spliced from 2 exons. The record is from RefSeq and is a predicted model, not a curated record. Lineage: Eukaryota; Viridiplantae; Streptophyta; Magnoliopsida; Ericales; Ebenaceae.
CAGGGCCUUGGGUUUACAAUUUUGGAGUUUGGUCUCAUUCACAGCUCGCGGCAAUAACAAUCGAAUCUCUCAUUUGUCGCUUCUUUUUAUGCUCUCCUUCUUUUUGAAACUGUUAAGCAGUUUGUGUUUUUCAAUUUUGGUUAGGGUUGGUUUUUGAUGGCCGGGGGAGAAGAAAACCGUAUAUUUGUGGGAAAUUUUUCUUGGGACACCACAGAGAGGGGCCUCGAGAAUGCGUUUCGCCGAUACGGGGAAGAUCAUCGACUCUUUGGCCGAGGGCGAAAGAAUGGGAGAGCAGCUGCGAACCGCCGAGGCUCGAAUUGCAGAGCUCGCCCACAUGCUGCGAUUCGCGUACGAGGUGAUGCGGUCAAGGCAGCGAAGGAGGCGGCCAAAGCAAGGCUCGCGCUGAAAUAGCAGAACAGGCAUUGGCCACAGCUCAUCCUCAGGAGGCAGCUGAGCUGCAGUGCUGAGGCGGGUUGAGGCCGCAUUCGCUUCUUCAUAGAAGUUUACUCUAAAAAUUUUGAUUUUGUAAUUAUUUGGUUAAAAUUUUACAUUUAUAAAAUUCUGUCUACGAAAA